RNAcentral lists this ribosomal RNA (253 nucleotides) under uncultured bacterium. Its description in RNAcentral is "partial 16S ribosomal RNA". It matches the Rfam family "Bacterial small subunit ribosomal RNA", at positions 524 to 776 of the family's 1533-position model. The record is from RNAcentral.
GACGAAGGGGGCUAGCGUUGUUCGGAAUUGCUGGGCGUAAAGCGCGUGUAGGCGGUUGGCCAAGUCGGGUGUGAAAGCCUUGAGCUCAACUCAAGAAAUGCACUCGGUACUGGGUGACUAGAGGACCGGAGAGGAUAGUGGAAUUCCCAGCGUAGUGGUGAAAUACGUAGAGAUUGGGAAGAACACCAGUGGCGAAGGCGGCUAUCUGGACGGUUUCUGACGCUAAGACGCGAAAGCGUGGGGAGCAAACAGG